RNAcentral lists this ribosomal RNA (440 nucleotides) under uncultured bacterium. RNAcentral's name for it is "partial 16S ribosomal RNA". It matches the Rfam family "Bacterial small subunit ribosomal RNA", at positions 338 to 795 of the family's 1533-position model. The record is from RNAcentral.
CCUACGGGUGGCAGCAGUGGGGAAUAUUGCACAAUGGGGGAAACCCUGAUGCAGCGACGUCGCGUGAGUGAAGAAGGAAUUCGGUAUGGAAAGCUCUAUCAGCAGGGAAGAAAAUGACGGUACCUGAGCAUGAAGCCACGUCUAACUACGUGCCAGAAGCCGCGGUAAUACGCAGGGGGCAAGCGUUAUCCGGAUUUACUGGGUGUAAAGGGAGCGUAGACGGCAGGGCAAGUCUGUAGUGAAAGUCGGGGGCUCAACCCCCGGACUGCCAUUGAAACUGUACGGCUGGAGUGCAGGAGAGGUAGGUGGAAUUCGUAGUGUAGCGGUGAAAUGCGUAGAUAUUACGAAGAACACCGAUGGCGAAGGCAGCCUACUGGACUGUAACUGACGUUGAGGCUCGAAAGCGUGGGGAGCAAACGGGAUUAGAUACCCGAGUAGUC